UUUCUUCGAUUGAGCAGCUUGAGUGACUUCAGUCUCCUAACCCUAACCCUAACCCUAACCCUAACCCAACCCCAACCCCAACCCCAACCCCAACCCCAACUGUACAAAAAUCCGCCGAGAGAUCGAGAGGCAAUUACAGGAAUUGAUGGAGGUAAAGAGCAAAAUGGGGAGAGUAUACCUGAACUUGUGCUCGGUUCUGUGAAACAUGGUAAAUCAGUAUGAGUUCGGUUCUGUGAAACAUGGUAAAAUCUCAGUAUGAGUUCCCUCACAACCUACAAGACAUAGAGAUAGAACCAGAAAUCAAAUAUGUCUUUCUCAAUUUUUGCCAUCAAGACAUAGGAAAGAGCUUCACAGCACAUCUCAACCAGAUCUAGGUGAUUCAGGUAUCUCUACCUUGUAUUUACCCACACAAUAUGAUGAUGAAACCCAGAGGAGAGAGCAUAUUCCCUGUGAUGUACAGAGAUCCAUUGAAGAAUGUGAGUUCUUCAUCACUGUCUUUUCAUCCAACCAUGCUUCUUCUUUCUUCUGCCUUGACCUGAUUUCUUAUGGACUGAGUUUGCAACUGACGACUAUGAUAAGGUCUGUUUUUCCUGUUUUUUGUAUUAUGGAGCCUUCACAUGUCUGUUGGAAAAAUGGGCCUUGGUUUGAGGAGAAGAAAACACGAGGUGUGGAGAAAUGCUUUCAAAGAAGUUGCCCAUCUUUCUGGUUGGGAUAUGAAAAAUUACAGGAGUGAAGUUUAUUUGGUUGAUGCUAAGCAUGUUUCAGGGAAGUUGAAUUUGCAACACUAUGGCAUGUCACUGAUCACCCUACUGGGCUUGAGUCUCAGGUUAAUGAUAAGAUGAGACUCUUCAAUAUUAAUAUUUGGUUACCAAUAAUGAUAUUUGGAUGAAUAGAAACCAUGGCAUGGGCAGCAUCAGAAGUUAAAUUGUGAGGCAGUCUUCAGCCAAAUUUAUUGAAGGUUCCAACACGUGAGGACUUAUCACCUUACAGAAACAAUUUCUAAAAGAUCCAAUGUUUAUGAAUAGAAUUGGUUGUAAGAAACAACUUUCAUCCAAUAUAAACAAUUUUAUUAGGGGAUAAAAUUGAAA
Non-coding RNA from Amborella trichopoda, 1088 nucleotides. NCBI's taxonomy places the organism in Eukaryota, Viridiplantae, Streptophyta, Magnoliopsida, Amborellales, Amborellaceae. The record is from RefSeq and is a predicted model, not a curated record.